This 615-nucleotide ribosomal RNA is filed under the name uncultured bacterium. RNAcentral's name for it is "bacterial SSU rRNA". It matches the Rfam family "Bacterial small subunit ribosomal RNA", at positions 338 to 954 of the family's 1533-position model. The record is from RNAcentral.
CCUACGGGAGGCAGCAGUAGGGAAUAUUGGUCAAUGGGCGAGAGCCUGAACCAGCCAUGCCGCGUGCAGGAAGAAGGCCCUCUGGGUUGUAAACUGCUUUUGACAGGGGCCAAAAUACUCAUGCGUGAGGAAUUGAGAGUACCUGUAGAAUAAGCACCGGCUAACUCCGUGCCAGCAGCCGCGGUAAUACGGAGGGUGCAAGCGUUGUCCGGAUUUAUUGGGUUUAAAGGGUGCGUAGGUGGCCUUAUAAGUCAGUGGUGAAAGCCUGCAGCUUAACUGUAGGACUGCCAUUGAUACUGUAGGGCUUGAGUACUGAUGAGGUAGGCGGAAUUGAUAGUGUAGCGGUGAAAUGCAUAGAUAUUAUCAAGAACACCGAUUGCGAAGGCAGCUUACUAAGGAGUUACUGACACUGAGGCACGAAAGCGUGGGGAUCAAACAGGAUUAGAUACCCUGGUAGUCCACGCCAUAAACGAUGAUUACUCGAUGUAUGCGAUAGAUAGUAUGCGUCCAAGCGAAAGCGUUAAGUAAUCCACCUGGGAGUACGGCCGCGAAGGUUGAAACGUUAAAGGAAUUGACGGCUUAGGAGAGNGCGACGGACGACGACGAGGGAGGAGG